This is a long non-coding RNA of Neoarius graeffei (lesser salmon catfish), 610 nucleotides long. RefSeq lists it as uncharacterized. Lineage: Eukaryota; Metazoa; Chordata; Actinopteri; Siluriformes; Ariidae. The transcript is spliced from 2 exons. The record is from RefSeq and is a predicted model, not a curated record.
AGAUACAACAAUUCAGUUGUUUCAAAUCAACCAGCGGACACUUAUUCAGUGCUCCCAGCAACGACUUUGGCUGCCUCAACACCUGGUGCAGCCCCAUCUGUACCUGCGCCACCUCCGCCCGCUGGCCCGCCGCCUCCUCCCGCUGGCCCACCACCUCCUGUUUCACGGUACACAGAGAGGAACAGGCGUCGGCGAGCCGCUGAAGAGGCCAGUGGUAGUGCGGAGAAAAGAAAAUAUGUAAGGGGUGCGACAUAUAACAUGUGUAGCCAAUGUGGCAAACCCAAGACUAAAGAGUAUGGGCAUAGUCGCUUUGGGAGCGCGACUUUCUGUUCCCAGGCCUCAGGUGGCAAGUCUGUUGAAGAGUGGUUGGAAGAACAGAGAGCUCAAAAGUAGUUCUUCUAUUGUACAAUAUGUAUAUAGUGUGUGUAUAAGUUCUGCUGCUAUUGCUUGUAUAGUGUGUGUUUGUGUGUGUGUAUAUACCACAUAUAUUAUGUAGUUUUUACAUGUACAUAGUUUUCCUGACAACCUUCCCCCUUUACUCAUGCACAUUUCUCCCUGUAAAUUGUACAUUGGUUUGUGUGAGUGAUUAAAUACAUGCUUGGUUUUUAAA